CCUACGGGCGGCUGCAGUGGGGAAUCUUGCGCAAUGGGCGAAAGCCUGACGCAGCAACGCCGCGUGUGUGAUGAAGGUCUUCGGAUCGUAAAGCACUGUCGCGAGGGACGAAUAAGGCCCUGGCCAAUACCUGGGGACGAUGACGGUACCUCGAGAGGAAGCACCGGCUAACUCUGUGCCAGCAGCCGCGGUAAUACAGAGGGUGCUAGCGUUGUUCGGAAUUAUUGGGCGUAAAGCGCGUGUAGGCGGUUCACCAAGUUGGGUGUGAAAGCCCUCGGCUUAACCGAGGAAGUGCGCCCAAAACUAGUGAACUCGAGUACCGGAGAGGGUGGCGGAAUUCCCGGUGUAGAGGUGAAAUUCGUAGAUAUCGGGAGGAACACCAGCGGCGAAGGCGGCCACCUGGACGGAUACUGACGCUGAGACGCGAAAGCGUGGGGAGCAAACAGGAUUAGAUACCCGGGUAGUC
RNAcentral lists this ribosomal RNA (466 nucleotides) under uncultured Anaeromyxobacter sp. RNAcentral describes it as "bacterial SSU rRNA". It matches the Rfam family "Bacterial small subunit ribosomal RNA", at positions 338 to 795 of the family's 1533-position model. The record is from RNAcentral. Lineage: Bacteria; Pseudomonadati; Myxococcota; Myxococcia; Myxococcales; Anaeromyxobacteraceae.